Long non-coding RNA from Meriones unguiculatus (Mongolian gerbil), 1593 nucleotides. RefSeq lists it as uncharacterized. The record is from RefSeq and is a predicted model, not a curated record. NCBI's taxonomy places the organism in Eukaryota, Metazoa, Chordata, Mammalia, Rodentia, Muridae. The transcript is spliced from 3 exons.
GCUACUGGUGAAAGUGCAGCAAAGUUGUUGCAGAAGAUCAUGGCAUUUUUGAAAUGGGAGUACGAUGGGAUGACCACCAAGGACAGCAACAGGUGUGGCGUGGAGACAGUCUGUAUGUGCAGCAGAGGGAGGAACCAGAGAAGUGACCCAAGCCCUUUGGAGGAACCUGAGAGAAGAGGAUCCAAUUACUGACAUGAAUAUGAAUCUACUGCUGAGCUCUUUAUCCUAUCCCACUGGUGUACUGGUCUACCCUUGUGGUAGGGCGAUACACUGUUAGUGGCUAGAGGUUAUAGAAGAAAAGGCACUGGCCAGAAGUCACAGUCACUAGGCACCAGUCCUUGCCUUGCUUCUGAGGACAUGGGACACUACAGUCAGCCUUUUAAUGUCUACAAGUCUCCAGCUUACCCAUCUGUCCAGUAAGAACUUGGGCAGUGACCUACAGUGAAGAAAGGACAUUCUUCAAGAUAAAACGAAAGUAAUUCCAGAUGGAAAGAAGAAAUGAAGAGUAAUGGAAACAAACAUAAAAGCAAUUAUAAUAUAUGUAGUCAUAAUUUAACACUGAUUAUAUAAAAUAACUGUCAGAUACAGCUAUAUACAACUAUGAUAUUCUAAAUGGGAUACGGCAAAGGAAACAAAAGUAUUCUGAACUUUUUGCACUGACCAGAAAAAGGGUCUUGUAAUUUGCAGGGAAGCUCCUAAAAGAAGAGAAGAUGCAUGUGACUUGUAAGUUUGUGUGUUUGGAGUGAGUGUAUGGCAUAACAAAGCACUACUCAAAUAUAUUUUAAAGAAAGCAAGAAUGAAGAAAGGAAGAAAGGAUCAUUAAUAGAAAAAUAUAUAUUUAAAACUAUACAUCAGAGGUACAAUAAGUGCUCUAAUGAGAAGGCAAAGACUUUCAGACUGAAUAAUAGCUCUAUGUGUUUACAAGAGGAACAUCCAAAAAUUAUGGAACAGAAGAUUAGAAAUAAGAUUGACAAAGGCUUUCUCAGGAAUAUUUUUUUUAAUAUUUUAUUUAUUUAUUUUAUGUAUCAGUGUUCUAUCUGAAGAGGACAUCAGAUUUCAGUAUAGAUGGUUGUGAGCCACCAUGUGAUUGCUGGGAAUUGAACUCAGGACCUCUGGGGAAGCAGACAGUGCUCUUAUCCACUGAGCCAUCUCUCCGGCCCUCUCAGGAAUAUUUUUAUCAUCGUAGAUUUUCAUACACUUUAUAAUGUACUUUGAUUUAUGGAAAUUAGACACUGAUACACUUAUAAAGAAAUAGGAAACUCACAUGUAUUGUGGGAAUAUUUUAUUCACAGCUCAAUAAUUGAUAGAACAAGCAAAUAUUUUUCAAUAGAAAAACAAGAUUUAAACAUGAUCAAAACCUUCACUAUAAACCUGACAAACUACAAACUUGUUUAUAAAACUUGGCUUCUAUGUUUUAUUUAGAGUAGCUCAGAAUUUACAUAUUUUUAAAAUUUAUGUAGCAUUAAAAAAAUAAAACAGAGCAUAAACUGGGCCAUAUAUCAUGCUUUAAAAAUUUCAAAGAGUAAUAGCAUGCAGAGCACAUUAUAGUGAAAAAUUGGUUGACUUUAUAAUGUAAGGCCUUGCUACAGAGAA